UACGAAGGGUGCAACCGUUGCUCGGAAUUAUUGGGCGUAAAGCGCACGUAGGCGGCUUGGCAAGUCGGAUGUGAAAUCCCGGGGCUCAACCCCGGAACUGCCCUUGAAACUGCAGUGCUAGAAUCUUGGAGAGGCGAGUGGAAUUCCGAGUGUAGAGGUGAAAUUCGUAGAUAUUCGGAAGAACACCAGUGGCGAAGGUGACUCGCUGGACAAGUAUUGACGCUGAGGUGCGAAAGCGUGGGGAGCAAACAGG
RNAcentral lists this ribosomal RNA (253 nucleotides) under uncultured bacterium. RNAcentral describes it as "partial 16S ribosomal RNA". It matches the Rfam family "Bacterial small subunit ribosomal RNA", at positions 524 to 776 of the family's 1533-position model. The record is from RNAcentral.